Molecule: non-coding RNA, 105 nt
Organism: Acanthosepion pharaonis
Lineage: Eukaryota; Metazoa; Mollusca; Cephalopoda; Sepiida; Sepiidae
Source: the annotation of a GenBank genome assembly
CAGUUAUAUCACUUUGAAACACUGGUUCUCGUAUAAUCACCGAAGUUAAGCAAUGUUGAGAUUGGUCAGUACUUAGAUGGGCGACUGCUUGAGAAAAACAGCUGU